UCGAUUAAGCAUAUCAAUAAGCGGAGGAAGAGAAACUAACCAGGAUUCCCCUAGUAACGGCGAGCGAACCGGGAGAAUAGAUUGAGCCCACUUUGUAAAUCUGAAGAGAUAUAUUUUCUUCCGAAUUGUAGUCUACACAGGUUGGUCUUUUUGGCAGAAGGAAUGUUGUCCAAGUGCCUUGGAAGAGGCCGCGCGACAGGGUGAGAGCCCCGUUGGACAAAUUGUAUUCAGUCAGAUGCACAGACUACCUUGUUCGAGUCGGGUUGUUUGGGAAUGUAGCCCUAAUGUGUCGGUGGUAAAUCCCAUCGAAGGCUAAAUACUGGCGGGAGACCGAUAGCGAACAAGUACCGUGAGGGAAAGAUGAAAAGAACUUUGAAAAGAGAGUCAAAAGUGCUUGAAAUUGUUGAGAGGGAAGCGAUUGUCUGAGUUGUUUUGGGGGUGCAUGGAUUUGGGGUUGGUUGCAGAGUUCAUUUCUGUGCCUCCCCAACCCUGCUGCACCCCCGGUCAGCAUCGGUUUCUGGAGGGGUAGAAACGCCAGGAUUACCUGGUUUGGAUUGUGAUUGAUUUUUCAGCUUCAGUCCAACGCCUGGCUCAUGCCCUUCUCUUUUUGAGACCGAGGAACAUUUACGGUGCCCCAGAAGAAUUCAUUCUUCCGCACCGGUUGAUGGAUGCUGGCUGACGCCGCUCAAUCGGCCCGUCUUGAAACACGGACCA
Molecule: ribosomal RNA, 714 nt
Filed under: Prototheca wickerhamii
Lineage: Eukaryota; Viridiplantae; Chlorophyta; Trebouxiophyceae; Chlorellales; Chlorellaceae
Description: partial large subunit ribosomal RNA
Rfam family: Eukaryotic large subunit ribosomal RNA
Source: RNAcentral